RNAcentral lists this ribosomal RNA (128 nucleotides) under Myxotrichum deflexum. RNAcentral describes it as "partial large subunit ribosomal RNA". It matches the Rfam family "Eukaryotic large subunit ribosomal RNA", at positions 99 to 226 of the family's 3401-position model. The record is from RNAcentral. Lineage: Eukaryota; Fungi; Ascomycota; Leotiomycetes; Myxotrichaceae.
CGGCAACAGCUCAAAUUUGAAAUCUGGCCCUCUCAGGGUCCGAGUUGUAAUUUGGAGAGGAUGCUUCGGGUGUGGCCCCGGUCUAAGUUCCUUGGAACAGGACGUCACAGAGGGUGAGAACCCCGUAC